ACACCUGUUCCCAUGCCGAACACAGAAGUUAAGCUUCUUCACGCCGAGAGUAGUUGGUGGGAAACUGCCUGCGAGGGUAGGAAGCUGCCACGC
RNAcentral lists this ribosomal RNA (93 nucleotides) under Lacticaseibacillus paracasei. The record is from RNAcentral. Lineage: Bacteria; Bacillati; Bacillota; Bacilli; Lactobacillales; Lactobacillaceae. RNAcentral also lists the same sequence under 2 other names.